GAUGAACGCUGGCGGCGUGCCUAAUACAUGCAAGUCGAGCGAACAGACGAGGAGCUUGCUCCUCUGACGUUAGCGGCGGACGGGUGAGUAACACGUGGAUAGCCUACCUAUAAGACUGGGAUAACUUCGGGAAACCGGAGCUAAUACCGGAUAAUAUAUUGAACCGCAUGGUUCAAUAGUGAAAGACGGUUUUGCUGUCACUUAUAGAUGGAUCCGCGCCGCAUUAGCUAGUUGGUAAGGUAACGGCUUACCAAGGCAACGAUGCGUAGCCGACCUGGGAGGGUGAUCGGCCACACUGGAACUGAGACACGGUCCAGACUCCUACGGGAGGCAGCAGUAGGGAAUCUUCCGCACUGGGCGAAAGCCUGACGGAGCAACGCCGCGUGAGUGAUGAAGUUCUUCGGAUCGUAAAACUCUGUUAUUAGGGAAGAACAAAUGUGUAAGUAACUAUGCACGUCUUGACGGUACCUAAUCAGAAAGCCACGGCUAACUACGUGCCAGCCGCCGCCGUAA
Molecule: ribosomal RNA, 513 nt
Filed under: uncultured bacterium
Lineage: Bacteria
Description: partial 16S ribosomal RNA
Rfam family: Bacterial small subunit ribosomal RNA
Source: RNAcentral